RNAcentral lists this long non-coding RNA (1065 nucleotides) under Mytilus galloprovincialis (Mediterranean mussel). Lineage: Eukaryota; Metazoa; Mollusca; Bivalvia; Mytilida; Mytilidae. The record is from RNAcentral.
CUCCCAAACAAAGCUCCAAUAACUCGCCAUUCAUAUUGUCCCAUGUUCAUUUGAUUUGAUUUUUUGUCCCAUACAAGAAUAUAUAUGGCUUACGAGUGGGUAUCUCCACCAUUUACAAGUAUUCAAACAGGAGGGGGUGGUGAUGACCCCCAGGGACUUUACCUACAUUUCAUUUGAUUUGUUUUAUUGUCCCAUACAAGUAUAUAUAUGGUUUAGGGGUGGGGAUCUUGACUGUUUACAAGUUUUCAAACAAGAGGGGGUGGGGUGACCCCCUCGGGACUUCCCUUUUAUAUCAUUUCAUUUGUUUUAUUGUCCCCUACAAGAAUACAUAUUGUUUAGGGUGGGGAUCUGGACCGUUUACAAGAUAAUAGCACAUUCUCAAAUUGAACAGGGUGGGGGCGACCCCCAGGAACUUCUCUUUAAUUUCAUUUGAUUAGCCUUGUUGUCCCAUACAAGAAUAUAUAUGGUUUAGGGGUGGGGAUGUUGACCGUUUACAAGUUUUCAAACAAGAAAGGGUGGGGUGACCCCCUCAGGACUUCCCUUUUAUUUCAUUUUCAUUUGUUUUAUUGUCCCCUACAAGAAUAUAUAUGGUUUAGGGGUGGGGAUCUGGACCGUUUACAAGAUAAUAGUACAUUCUCAAAUUGAACGGGGUGGGGGUGACCCCAAGGAACUUCCAUUUAAUUUCAUUUGAUUAGUUUUAUUGUCCCAUACAAGAAUAUAUAUGGUUUAGGUGUGGGGAUGUUGACCGUUUACAAGUUUUCAAACAAGAGGGGGUGGGGUGACCCCCUAGGGACUUCCCUUUUAUUUCAUUUCAUUUGUUUUAUUGUCCCCUAUAAGAAUAUAAAUGGUUUAGGGGUGGGGAUCUGGACCGUUUACAAGAUAAUAGCACAUUUUCAAAUUGAACGGGGUGGGGAGGACCCCGGGGACUUCCCUUUAAUUUCAUUUCAUUGGUUUUAUCGUCCCAUUCAAGAAUAUAUGAGGUUUAGGGGUGGGGAUCUGGACCGUUUACAAGAUAAAAGCAUAUUCUCAAAUUGAAGGGGGUGGGGAUGACCCCCUAGGGACCCC